AAUGUACGUUAAUUUGUAGGUUAAACUUAAAUUUAUAUAUGGUUUUUAUUUUCGAUCUUUUUAUGCUUUUUUGCCUCUUGAGCAGAACAUAACAAUAAAAAGGUAGAAUAUUGGAUGAAGUAAAUUAAUCGGUUUGCUUUAAUGGAAAUGAUUCUUUAGCAAUUAAUAGCGAAUAUAAGAAAUAAUAGUAGGUAAGAAUCUAACUUUUCAUAUAUAUACGAGGGUUGAUCGAAUAUUUUAAAGAUUUACUGUCACAAAUUUUUUGAUGUACUAAUAGGUUUGGUAGGUAAUUUAAUUUUUUUUUUUUUGUUAUUGACAAUUUUCCGCCAUCUAACUGUUGUUACAAACCUGAAGCUUAGAUUGAUAGAUGGCAUAUGAAGCUUUUAUCUGUCCGACCAUCCCUUUGGUUUCUAUAGAUAAAGUUUAAAAAUGAAACUAAGGCCAUAUUUGUGGGCUUUAAAAAGGCAAACACAUUUUUUCAAAAAAAAAUUCCUAGGGUUGUCUGUUUUUAAACUACCUUUAUCUCGUCGUGUCGUUAAAAGUAAUUAGAUUACAGCACUGUAAGUUGCGUCCAAUUCUUUAAUGUUAUCUAUUCUGACGAAAUAGUUUAUUUUUAACAUCUCUCACUACUUUGUUGCCAAUAUUUACUACACUACUACUACUCGGAAAAAUAAUCCACAACAUUGAAAGCGUUUAAUGUUGGAGGAUUUUUCUUCGAAUAAAACAAAAACAUGGCAAAUAGGUUUCUAGAUAGGAAACGAACGAACUUUGAAGAUGUUAAGCACUAAGUUCAACAGAUGAAGUUUACUUUGAAAGAUUAAAAAAGCAAAUGAGAAAGUUAUAGCUGGCCCUUAGGCUUACAUAUUGUGAUUGCAAAAUAUAUUACGAAAAUUGAACUUGUCAGUUGGCCCGUGGGGAUCGUUUUUACACUAUUCUUUGUACCAAGUUUGAGACAAAUAUGUUUUCGUAUUUUUUGCGUAUUUGUACGUGAUGGAUCACUAUUGUUUUCAACUAAGGGAGUAUAAAUCACGUUCGUUCCUUUGUCAAUUUAUAUCUGUGAGCAUUCCAACGACAAAUGUCAUUUAUUGCAAACGGAAAUAUAAAUUCAGUACAACUAUAUUAAUAGUCACAGGAUUUAUUAAUUACAAACGAUGCGGUGGCCGUUACUUCAUAAAAAAUAAUAGCAUUAAAGUUGAAUAACAAUACUAAAGAUCCGAUUGCUCGUAUCUAUUAAUGUCUCAUCAAAAAAGGAGGUUCGUGGUGAUAUUAACAAUUUGUUUGUCCGAUCCCGAGCAAGCUAUUUUGUUAUUUCGGCAUAGUAAAAAACUAGGCAGUAAAAAUAAAUAAACUUCAAAAAACAUCGUAACAAUUUUGAUUACGAUGAUUGCCUCGUUAUUUAACUAUACUUUCCGUGCGUUAACGAAAGGCAGGAAUAAUGUGCUAAGGCAAGUGCGAGAUUUUCGUUAGUCGUCAAUAAAUCUCAUAUUAGAUAUGGCUUUCAAAGUAAGAAAAUAUCAGCAAAUGUUUAAUCUUUUGAUCAGCCCUCGUAUACCCUUCGCAUGCAUGAAAAUAUGAAUUCAUAUGCUUAUGAAAUACGUAUUAUCUUUUGCUUACUCAAUGUACACGUGUUUAUACAUUUACGAAAAUUUAUUAUAAUUUCUUUAAUGUUAUUAUUAUUAUUAUUAUUACUAUUAUUAUUAUUAUUACAGAGAGCAGUACUUACGAGAAAGAUUGAAUUAAGUUUACAUUGAUUAACUUUCUUAAUUUAUUUAUAUACUUUCCUGUAAAACUAAAGUGCGAAAUUUCUGUUUGUUAUGCAUAUGAGAGAAAUGAGUUGUAGUUCUUUGUUUUUAUUUAAUCUUUUAUUUUAUAAAUUAACGAGAGUUAAUGCUGUUUGGAGUUUUUCUUGUUUCCUUUUUUUUAACAAUUUAGUAAGAACUUAAAAAAAAGGAGAAAAUUCAUCAUAAUAAUAACUAGAUUUAUUUAAAAGAAUGCUUUUUUGCCGGCAGCAAAAGGCAGAACUUAAGUAUUUUCUUUUUAACCGAAAGUAUAUUUUAAACAAAAGAAAUUUUUAAUAACUUUUUUUAAUUUCAAUUCAACAUUCGUACACUAGUAGAAAAUCAACCAAUGCUUACAAUAAUCUUAGUUAUCCAACAUCUUAGAUGUGUAUAUGAGCGUCAGAGAAAAUUCAUUUAAAUUUAACGCUGAGUUCUUUCUAAUAUAUGUUUAGAUAUGCAUAGAAUUUUCUAUAACUUAAGUAUUUUUCUAUUUGUAAGACUUUUAAAGGAUGCCCAGGGUCCAUUCGAUCAUUUUCGCAAAGAAUUUUUAUUAAACUAUAAAACUUUGCUAAUUAUAUGGCUGUUUAGUGUUUACAGUCUUUUAUCCAUAACUUAACCUUUCUUUAACUGUAAACAUGUGUACGACUAACAAGUCAAUAAAGGCUACAUUUCCACAAAAUUGCUUUCACAAUUUAAGGCUUUGUGAAUUGUAAGUUGAUCAAUGAAUAUUUCGGCUCGACUUGAGUACAGAACUUUUUUCUUAACUCAAUAAUGUGUAUAGUUUAAAGUCCGUAGAAUUUUUGCACACUUCGAUAUUCCUUAAAUACUGGAAGCUUUGUUACUGACGUGUCAGGUCGUUAUUCUACAAUGAUGGCUAUAAAAAUGUAAUUCAUAUUGUAGAGCUAUGCUUCGAACGGAUAGACGGACGUGGCUACUUCAGUUUGGUAAUGAAUUUGCUAUAUAAAUUUUGAUACCACGAUGGCGCCAAGUUCAUCAAAAUUUUUGGUUAACUGGAUCAUAGCAAAUUCUCUAAUAAUUUCUUUUCUCUUAUUCGGGAAACCGUCAAAGGUGGUAUAAUAAUUGCUCUAAAAGUAAAAUUGUUUUUUUUAACUUUGUUUCAUAAUGCUUAUGAUUGUUUGGGCUCUUGAAUUAGAAGAAGAUUACUACAAAGGUGCCGCCGUUAUUUGCUUUGCUCCAAGUUUUAACGUUCCCAUUUUGGACAACUGCCUCCGAGUUCGGCGCGCUAAUUGACUGGUAUCAAUCAUUCCGAAAAUAACAAAAACCUUUCCACGAUGAUAAUUGAUAUUCAUUGAGACAUGAUUAUUGAGACAUUAUAGCGUCAUAACAGGUUAACGUCAAGUUCAAACUUUCUUUUUAGAUUUUUUUUUUGCGGAGGUGACAGUUUAAACUGGAAAUGACGGGUACACAUGUCUAAACUGACUCAAAAUAUUGCCCUUAUGAGACAUACGUCCAGUCUGUGACAAAGCUGAUACCUACUCCUGUUCUUUUCAGCUGGAGAAAGCAUUUAUCAAGUUUCACAGCAAAACAAAUAGAUCUUUCGUUGUUUAAUUUUUGUUUUCUUCCUGCAAGUUGAGCUUACACAAGCAAUUGUACCUGGUUUACGUGGUAUUUGUUCUUAUCUAAAAAGCAUAAUAUUAAUAAGCUCCUAUUAAGUCGUCAUAACCGGAAUGCAUCGCUUUAAUCAUCAGGUACUGCUUCUAAAGCUAAUGGUCAAGAUUUAGAGAUAGAUUUAGAUUACAUUUGCAGUAGAAAGCUCGCACGUAACGAUUAUUUUCCGUUGUCAAACUUAAUCCGAUUUGAAGGGCAAUAUUAGAGUCUUAUUCUUUACAGUCACAAAAAGCGGGUCACGCUUCUCGCAGUGAUUUAGUAAUAGCUAUCCCCACGUGAAUUAAGAGUUAUAAAUGAAAUGUCGUUGGCAUUAUCACAAUCCUGUGUGUUCAUUUUAUAAGAUUAAAAUUCAAGUGAUGGAUUUGUGUUACUCUGUAUGGUAUAGUAAAUCGAAAGUACAACGGAUAGAAAUUAAAGCAUUCUUUGAAUAAAAUGUGAGCGUUCAAACGCAUUAAAAAAACUUUCUGUUACUCUAUCGCAUUAGUGAAAGUUUUAUUAAAUAUCUUAAAUGUUAUAAGUCUUUUUAUGUUUAAUUGUAAAGAAGUAAAUACUUGGAUGCGAAAAUUCACAACCUCCAUAAUUCAGUUCAUUUACUUUUAAAAUAUUAAGUAGGAAAGAUUACGAAUAAUUUGUCUUCGGAAAUUUCAGUAACAUUCUUGUGCAUGUGUAAAGACUUUCCUUUUGGAGUUUAGGAAUAAGAUCAGAAUGACGGUCAGAAUAGGUGCACAUCACACUCGGCUGAAACUUAUGACGAUUUUCUACUGCAAAUAUGACCCGAGUGCUUGCACGUAAGGUUUGGUCGAAAAUUAUUGUAAAUUUAUUUAACUGAUUUAAGCGAAACGCAGCACGUAAGAAAAUAAACAUUACAUAAAAUAAAACAUGUCAUUACCCACAAAAGUGAAACAGAACUCUUCCAUUCCACCAAAUGGUACAACUCAAAAAUUAUUUCAGUUAUGCAGUCUAAGAUAAUGGCCUAGCCUAUAAGAGUCAUUUAUUUAGAGACAUUCCGUUUAAGGCGCUAACUACAAAUUAUUAACCGCAAAGUACACCUCAAUCGGAAAUCAUCAAAAGGACCACGAAUAGUAAUUUUAUGUUCAUUUAUAAUGUUACAUAUACGGUUUUAAUCAUUUAUUUUUGGAAGAGAUGUCGAAAGCGCAAAAGUAUGUUCUAUUAGAAAAUUUAAAUGACUGAGGUCGCUUUAUCAGAGAUAAACGCCAUGACGGUAACCUCAAACAAUUUUUAAAAGUGCUGAUGUGAUAUACCUUGAAGUUUGGAGGAUUGGGGAAAAAUUCAAACAAGUUACGACACGCUUAUCUUGUAAGAAAGCUCUGUUUUGCUAGAUUACAGCUUCUAAUUUGUUUGUGAAAUGAUCGAUCGCCUUAAAUCGCAUCUCAGAAAGCUAUAAAGCGCAAUUUCUCCCUAGUAAUUUUGAAAUUUCCCUAAUAAGUUAUGUUACAAAGUCCACUCUAUGGCGUACAUUCAUCCCAAAGGAGCACAUAUAUGCAUGAUAAGUUUUGACCUGUAUAAACAUGUCAGUAAGCUAAUAGAAUCCACGUCGAACAGUAUUAGGUGACUAUUACGUAUUUAAACAAUAUCGUCAUUCAUCUUAAUUUUUAAAGAUUUGCGGGAACUUUCAAAAUUCUAUUUACCUGUUAACGUAAACGAAAAUUAUAAGUGUAGAGACUUCAGAUUAAAUUUUCGUCAUUUUAAGGAAUUAAAAAGUGAUCACGAAACGUAUCUAAGUGAUUACAUCGGUUCAAAGGUUUUUCCUAUACAAGAAAAUAUAAUUCUUUUAUGGGGGAACGUUGCAACGGAAUGAAAUCUCAUAUAUAGUGAACGGGACUAAAAACCAUAAGAUUUGAUGCGAUCUAAAUUAACAUCGCAUUUAAACUUUGUAAGCUGUCCUUCUUAGGUUAAUUCCCUAAUAUUUUGUGGUCUUUACUUUUCUCUACAACUUUUCCUACACU
Glossina fuscipes is the source of this 5374-nucleotide long non-coding RNA. RefSeq lists it as uncharacterized. The record is from RefSeq and is a predicted model, not a curated record. The transcript is spliced from 2 exons. Lineage: Eukaryota; Metazoa; Arthropoda; Insecta; Diptera; Glossinidae.